RNAcentral lists this transfer RNA (66 nucleotides) under Acisoma panorpoides. Its description in RNAcentral is "tRNA-Leu". It matches the Rfam family "tRNA". Rfam says of the family: Transfer RNA (tRNA) molecules are approximately 80 nucleotides in length. Lineage: Eukaryota; Metazoa; Arthropoda; Insecta; Odonata; Libellulidae. The record is from RNAcentral.
ACUAUUUUGGCAGAAAAGUGCCAUGGAUUUAGAAUCCAUAAAUGUAAGAAAAUCUUACAUGUAGUA